Molecule: unclassified non-coding RNA, 188 nt
Filed under: rhizosphere metagenome
Description: partial ribosomal RNA internal transcribed spacer region
Source: RNAcentral
GAGUUCCUGCCCCCCGGGGUAGAUCUCCCACCCUAGCUUAUCCAACUUUGUUGCUUUGGCGGGCCGUCCGUUCGGCCACCGGCCCCCCGGCUGGUGCGUGCCCGUCAGAGACCCACACACGCUCUUGAUUGUGUUGUCUGAGUCCUUAUAUAAUCGUUAAAACUUUCAACAACGGAUCUCUUGGUUCU